RNAcentral lists this ribosomal RNA (479 nucleotides) under uncultured bacterium. RNAcentral's name for it is "partial 16S ribosomal RNA". It matches the Rfam family "Bacterial small subunit ribosomal RNA", at positions 28 to 507 of the family's 1533-position model. The record is from RNAcentral.
GAUGAACGCUGGCGGCGUGCUUAACACAUGCAAGUCGAGCGAGAAGUUUUGAAAAGAUUCUUCGGAUGAAAUUUAAAAUGGAAAGCGGCGGACGGGUGAGUAACGCGUAGGCAGCCUGCCCCAUACAAAGGGAUAGCAUUUGGAAACGAAUAUUAAUACCUUAUGAAACUUAACUAGUGCAUGCUAGGUAGGUCAAAGAUUUAUCGGUAUGGGAUGGGCCUGCGUCGGAUUAGCUAGUUGGGGAGGUAACGGCUCACCAAGGGGAGGAUCAGUAGCCGUGCUGCGAAGGUGAACGGCCACAUUGGACCUGAGGCACCGUCCAAGCUCCUUCGGGAGACAGCAGUGGGGAAUAUUGCACAAUCGGGGUAAGCCUAAUGCAGCAUCGCAGCGUGAACGAUGAAGGCCUUUGGGUCGUAAAGUUCUGUUAUAGGUGAUGAAAACUGACAGUAACCAAGGAGAAAGCCCCGGCUAACUCCGUG